This 378-nucleotide unclassified non-coding RNA is filed under the name Hevea brasiliensis (rubber tree). The record is from RNAcentral. Lineage: Eukaryota; Viridiplantae; Streptophyta; Magnoliopsida; Malpighiales; Euphorbiaceae.
GAGAGAGAGAGAGAUAUAGAGAUACGCUUCUCGAACCUACGAAGAAAUCGCUUAUUAGGGCAAAUUACCCUUGGAUUUACUGGUGAUUUUGCUUUCUGCUGAGACUCAGGAGCUUGAUUAUCCCGGAAAAGUUGUGAUUUUCUAGGAAAGUUUUGAGUUUUUUUGGAAUAAAGGUUUCGGAUUCCAGAAAGCAUAGUUGAGGGCAGGUUUUCCACAUUAGCCAUGAUGUUUUAUCAAAAUAUUAUUUGCAUCCUCAAUGGUGGGUAGAAGAUUCUGAGGAAUGUCAGACUUGCGCAUGUAUGAGCUUGAAGAUAAUGUGUGGGAUGCAUUUAGUGAGAGUGAUGACCAUAUAGUGCCUCAUCUUGCUAAGGAAUGUGG